GAUGAACGCUGGCGGCGUGCCUAAUACAUGCAAGUCGAGCGACCAGACGAGGAGCUUGCUCCUCUGACGUUAGCGGCUGACGGGCGAGUAACACGUGGAUCACCUACCUCUUUGUCUGGGAUAACUUCGUGAAACCGGUGCUACUACCGGCUCAUAUAUCCUACCGCUUGGUGCAAUAGUUAUUCACGGUUUUCCUGUCACUUAUAGCUGGUUCCGCGUCGCCUUAGCUAGUUGGUAAGGUAACGGCCUACCAAGGCAACGAUGCGUAGCCGACCUGAGAGGGUGAUCAGCCACACUGGAACUGAGACACGGUCCAGAAUCCUAAGGGAGGCAGCAGUAGGGAAUAUUGCACAAUGGGCGAAAGCCUGACGAAGCAACGCCGCGUGAGUGAUGAAGGUCUUCGGAUCGUAAAACACUGUUGUUGGGAAAGAAAAAAAGUGUAAGUAACUAUGCACGUCUUGAAGGUACCUAAACAAAAAGCAACGGCUAACUACGUG
RNAcentral lists this ribosomal RNA (497 nucleotides) under uncultured bacterium. RNAcentral describes it as "partial 16S ribosomal RNA". It matches the Rfam family "Bacterial small subunit ribosomal RNA", at positions 28 to 507 of the family's 1533-position model. The record is from RNAcentral.